RNAcentral lists this ribosomal RNA (595 nucleotides) under uncultured Eubacteriales bacterium. RNAcentral describes it as "bacterial SSU rRNA". It matches the Rfam family "Bacterial small subunit ribosomal RNA", at positions 8 to 578 of the family's 1533-position model. The record is from RNAcentral. Lineage: Bacteria; Bacillati; Bacillota; Clostridia; Eubacteriales.
AGAGUUUGAUCCUGGCUCAGGAUGAACGCUGGCGGCGUGCUUAACACAUGCAAGUCGAACGAAUUACUUUAAAGGAAGUUUUCGGAUGGAAUUUAAAGUAGUUAGUGGCGGACGGGUGAGUAACGCGUGGGAAACCUGCCCUAUACAGGGGGAUAGCCUCGGGAAACCGGGAUUAAUACCCUAUGAAACUCUAGAGCCGCAUGGCUCAUGGGUCAAAGAUUUAUCGGUAUAGGAUGGUCCCGCGUCUGAUUAGCUAGUUGGUGAGGUAACGGCUCACCAAGGCGACGAUCAGUAGCCGGUCUGAGAGGAUGAACGGCCACACUGGGACUGAGACACGGCCCAGACUCCUACGGGAGGCAGCAGUGGGGAAUCUUCCGCAAUGGACGAAAGUCUGACGGAGCAACGCCGCGUGAGUGAAGAAGGUUUUCGGAUUGUAAAGCUCUGUCUUCUGGGAAGAAUGUCAUCCUUGAAAAUAUUGAGGGUGAAUGACGGUACUAGAGGAGGAAGCCACGGCUAACUACGUGCCAGCAGCCGCGGUAAUACGUAGGUGGCAAGCGUUGUCCGGAAUUAUUGGGCGUAAAGCGCGCGCAGGCGG